UACGUAGGGUGCAAGCGUUGUCCGGAAUUAUUGGGCGUAAAGAGCUCGUAGGCGGUUUGUCGCGUCUGCUGUGAAAUCCCGAGGCUCAACCUCGGGCCUGCAGUGGGUACGGGCAGACUAGAGUGCGGUAGGGGAGAUUGGAAUUCCUGGUGUAGCGGUGGAAUGCGCAGAUAUCAGGAGGAACACCGAUGGCGAAGGCAGGUCUCUGGGCAUUAACUGACGCUGAGGAGCGAAAGCAUGGGGAGCGAACAGG
This 253-nucleotide ribosomal RNA is filed under the name uncultured bacterium. Its description in RNAcentral is "partial 16S ribosomal RNA". It matches the Rfam family "Bacterial small subunit ribosomal RNA", at positions 524 to 776 of the family's 1533-position model. The record is from RNAcentral.